AUCAAGAUUUAACGAUUGAGUGAUUUUUGGACUAAAUUGGACGAAAGGAAAGUUAGGAAUCAACUUUUGAGGAGGUGGCAAUCAUAAGGACCAAGAGGUAACUUUGCCAUAAAUAUAUAAUGGGAUUAGUUGGAGUUUAAACUCAGAUUUUUCAUUUGAAGAGCAGCCAUCAAAAUCAUCAUAUCCUUCCUUUAAAAAGCUUUUCAUGUAAAAGCUUAAAAUCACCAUAACUUACUCGUUUCUUGACGGAAUUGGACGAUUCUUGCGGCCACGGAACGAGGAGGAGGAGCUCUACUGAUCAAUAACAAUUAAUUAAGGCAUCGACAAACUACGGAUUUGACGAUUUUGGCUAAGGGGUUCGGCCAAGACAAGGGAAUCGCAAAAGAAUUGGAAUAGCAAGUGUACUUAGACUUGGAGUGACUAGAAGUCUAUCGUUUUGCCGGGAGUCUGUCUUGCCAUGUACAGUCCGACUUCCGUGACCGCUGCAGUAGUACAUUGUGUGACCAGUCAUGACCUAGGACAAUAUUAUAGUUUUGGAAAAUGUUUAUAACGAUGUUAGAUUUACGUAGCCAGUGUUUACAAAAUUAAAUGCUUCCGUGUUAUAACAUAAUUGCGAAAAAUUUAUAGUGAA
Molecule: long non-coding RNA, 631 nt
Organism: Mercurialis annua (annual mercury)
Lineage: Eukaryota; Viridiplantae; Streptophyta; Magnoliopsida; Malpighiales; Euphorbiaceae
Exons: 3
Source: RefSeq, a predicted model, not a curated record